AAUUAUAAAUAUAUAUAUCAACAAACUUAUUUUAUAUUAAUUAAAAUUUUUGCAAGUGUUAACUCCCUAGGUAUUUUAUAAAUAACUAGUGUAGAAACUCGCUCGAUGUAGCAGAUAUAAUUAUAUUUGAUUAAAUUUAAUAAUAUAAAAAAUACUUUAAAAUUUUUAGAAUAGAAUUAUAAUUCAAUGAAAAUCAACGAACAGAUAAAAAAAAUAAUAGGAAAAAAGAAAUUUGUUACAUAAAAAUUAGACCUUUUUGUACCCUUAUUUAGGGUAUUCUAUACUAACACAGACCAUUUCGUAAAAUAUCACAGUGCCUUCAACUCUUUUUCAGUAAAUCUAUAUCUUAGCCGAUACUUCUCGUCCUCCGAGACCAUUAGAGGAGAGAGAUACACACCAUUUGUAUAAACUAUACAUUACAAAUUUAAAUAGUCGAAAUCGAAAGAGGAGGGUUGGGGGCAAGGGUUGGAGUUCGACUCAUCCGACGUUGAUGGCGAGGGCGAGGGCGAGGGCAGCGUGCCUGUGGGCUUGUGGUUGGAGCGGACGUAAUAUGCAAGGUCGUUGUCGAGGACGUCGUAUGCUGUGCCCACAGGCUUCUCGGGCAACGCUUCUUAGAAAAUAAAAACUAAUAAAGCGGAAAAUCGAAACAACGAUGUUAUAGAGAAAGAAUUAAUGAGACAGGAAGCCAAAGAGGCAUACGGUAUGAAAAAGUAACUGAUAAGACGGAAAGCCGAAGAGACAGACGUUGAAGACAAGCGGUCGCAAUGAUUAGAGAGUUGAAAUAUUGAGAUUGAGAGACUAUAUUUGGUGCUGCCACGUGGUAAAAAUUUAUAAAAAAUAAUGUAUAUAAUAUAAUAAUAAUAAUAUAAAAUAGAUAUAGAUAUAUAGAUAUAGAUAUAGGUACAGAUAUAAAUGUGCAUGCAUUCUAAAUA
This 932-nucleotide long non-coding RNA is filed under the name Ananas comosus (pineapple). RNAcentral's name for it is "long non-coding RNA (ACOM_LNC033984)". The record is from RNAcentral. Lineage: Eukaryota; Viridiplantae; Streptophyta; Magnoliopsida; Poales; Bromeliaceae.